Anopheles darlingi is the source of this 862-nucleotide long non-coding RNA. RefSeq lists it as uncharacterized. The record is from RefSeq and is a predicted model, not a curated record. The transcript has 3 exons. Lineage: Eukaryota; Metazoa; Arthropoda; Insecta; Diptera; Culicidae.
GCCAGGAUUGCGCGGCAAUGGCCAUUAUGUAAUGAAAACGACGGGAAACAGUUUCCGAAAUCCAGGCAAGUGAAGCAGCGAACCAAACGCGAAGCUCCGAACCUGCAGUUCCGUUUUGGCGUGCGGUCAAGUGCAAGUGCAGUGCAGUGCAGUGCAGUGCAGUGCGGUGUGGUGUGCGUGUGGUUUUUAUCACCGGAUUGCAGGAUUCUGUGCGAGCAGCGCGUAUGUGAAUGUGUUGCAGUCUCUUUGGUGCUAGUGUGAGGCUUGACAAAAACCGUUUGAAAUCGUUCUGCACUCCCGAGGGCCGGGCCCCAAAUGGCUGGUGGUGUUGGCUGAAACGAUUGGCAAACACUGAAUGGAUGACGGUCCCUAUCAUUUGCUGGAAGUGGACACCGGAAGCCAUCAUCAUCGUCAUGAUCAUGUUUUAGUCUGGAUGGAUGGACGAAUGGAUGGAUUAGCUACCAGACGAACCGGUUGAGGUGGUUGUUGCUGGCUGGCAGGCUGGCGAGGAUUAUAUUUAUGGGAGUUAUCCGGCUUCGGUACGUGUCCGAGCAUGCAGGUGUUUCAGAUCCCCCCGAAUGCAGGAUGGGGUAACAAGCAUGGGGUGUCAACCUGCGCGCACCGCACCAAAGGCAUUACCUUCGGGCACAUGCGGACGGAGAGCGCUUUCCGAGGAAGGUUACAUAGCUCAACGCCAGAGGGCUCGUAAGAGGAAGGAUUGAGAGUGUGCGUCUGUAUGUGUGUAUGUGUGCUACUCCAUUUCGUUUCGUUGGUUCCGGACCGAGUGUGCGAAGGAUUCGGAAACUUUCAGGAGAGGAAUGUAAAAAGGGACCUGCAAGAAACAAGUAUUUCAUGUCCAGAU